RNAcentral lists this ribosomal RNA (735 nucleotides) under uncultured Fusobacterium sp. RNAcentral's name for it is "bacterial SSU rRNA". It matches the Rfam family "Bacterial small subunit ribosomal RNA", at positions 28 to 776 of the family's 1533-position model. The record is from RNAcentral. Lineage: Bacteria; Fusobacteriati; Fusobacteriota; Fusobacteriia; Fusobacteriales; Fusobacteriaceae.
GAUGAACGCUGACAGAAUGCUUAACACAUGCAAGUCAACUUGAAUUUGGGUUUUUAACUUAGGUUUGGGUGGCGGACGGGUGAGUAACGCGUAAAGAACUUGCCUCACAGUUAGGGACAACAUUUGGAAACGAAUGCUAAUACCUAAUAUUAUGAUAACAGGGCAUCCUAUAAUUAUGAAAGCUAUAAGCGCUGUGAGAGAGCUUUGCGUCCCAUUAGCUAGUUGGAGAGGUAACGGCUCACCAAGGCGAUGAUGGGUAGCCGGCCUGAGAGGGUGAUCGGCCACAAGGGGACUGAGACACGGCCCUUACUCCUACGGGAGGCAGCAGUGGGGAAUAUUGGACAAUGGACCAAGAGUCUGAUCCAGCAAUUCUGUGUGCACGAUGAAGUUUUUCGGAAUGUAAAGUGCUUUCAGUUGGGAAGAAAGAAAUGACGGUACCAACAGAAGAAGUGACGGCUAAAUACGUGCCAGCAGCCGCGGUAAUACGUAUGUCACGAGCGUUAUCCGGAUUUAUUGGGCGUAAAGCGCGUCUAGGUGGUUAUGUAAGUCUGAUGUGAAAAUGCAGGGCUCAACUCUGUAUUGCGUUGGAAACUGUAUAACUAGAGUACUGGAGAGGUAAGCGGAACUACAAGUGUAGAGGUGAAAUUCGUAGAUAUUUGUAGGAAUGCCGAUGGGGAAGCCAGCUUACUGGACAGAUACUGACGCUGAAGCGCGAAAGCGUGGGUAGCAAACAGG